GCAGAAGUCAGCCAUAACUCUGAACCUAAAAAGGAGGUCACCUGAAGCAGCUGUGAGUAAGCAGGUGAAAUGAAUUCCUUAGUCAAAAACAAUUUUGUAUGGGAUAUCAUGAUGGUGAAUAACAAAUUAAAGUUCACGCAUGGUAGUACCAGCAGAACAACUGCGAAUGUAAAGGGCUGCUCAACAUGAAUAUGCAGACGAAGACCUUUAUGAUGAUCCACUUUCACUUAAUGAAUAGUAAACAUAUUUCCUCCUCCUUAUGAUUUUCUUAAUAG
This 275-nucleotide long non-coding RNA is filed under the name Homo sapiens (human). Its description in RNAcentral is "HSALNT0371966". Lineage: Eukaryota; Metazoa; Chordata; Mammalia; Primates; Hominidae. The record is from RNAcentral.